Molecule: ribosomal RNA, 400 nt
Filed under: uncultured bacterium
Lineage: Bacteria
Description: bacterial SSU rRNA
Rfam family: Bacterial small subunit ribosomal RNA
Source: RNAcentral
UAAAGCUCUAUCAGCAGGGAAGAAAAUGACGGUACCUGACUAAGAAGCCCCGGCUAACUACGUGCCAGCAGCCGCGGUAAUACGUAGGGGGCAAGCGUUAUCCGGAUUUACUGGGUGUAAAGGGAGCGUAGACGGCAGCGCAAGUCUGGAGUGAAAUCCCAUGGCUUAACCAUGGAACUGCUUUGGAAACUGUGCAGCUAGAGUGCAGGAGAGGUAAGCGGAAUUCCUAGUGUAGCGGUGAAAUGCGUAGAUAUUAGGAGGAACACCAGUGGCGAAGGCGGCUUACUGGACUGUAACUGACGUUGAGGCUCGAAAGCGUGGGGAGCAAACAGGAUUAGAUACCCUGGUAGUCCACGCUGUAAACGAUGAUUACUAGGUGUUGGGGGACCAAGGUCCUUCG